UCCCUAAUGGUGUAGUGGCUAACAUCGUCGUCUUUCACACGACAGCCCUGGGUUCGAUUCCCAGUUAGGGAG
RNAcentral lists this transfer RNA (72 nucleotides) under Monascus purpureus. RNAcentral describes it as "tRNA-Glu". It matches the Rfam family "tRNA". From Rfam's summary of the family: Transfer RNA (tRNA) molecules are approximately 80 nucleotides in length. Lineage: Eukaryota; Fungi; Ascomycota; Eurotiomycetes; Eurotiales; Aspergillaceae. The record is from RNAcentral.